RNAcentral lists this ribosomal RNA (426 nucleotides) under uncultured bacterium. RNAcentral describes it as "bacterial SSU rRNA". It matches the Rfam family "Bacterial small subunit ribosomal RNA", at positions 355 to 776 of the family's 1533-position model. The record is from RNAcentral.
UCGAGAAUCUUCCGCAAUGGACGAAAGUCUGACGGAGCGACGCCGCGUGCGGGAUGAAGGCCCUUGGGUUGUAAACCGCUGUCAGAGGGGAUGAAAUCAUGGUUGGCUAUCCUUCCAUGUUGACAGAGCCUCAGAGGAAGCACGGGCUAAGUACGUGCCAGCAGCCGCGGUAACACGUACUGUGCGAACGUUAUUCGGAAUCACUGGGCUUAAAGGGUACGUAGGCGGUUAAUCAAGUCAGGUGUGAAAUGCCUGAGCUCAACUGAGGCACUGCGCUUGAAACUGAUUAGCUAGAGUAUUCCAGGGGUGUGCGGAACUUAUGGUGGAGCGGUGAAAUGCGUUGAUAUCAUGAGGAACACCGGAGGCGAAGGCGGCACACUGGGGAAUUACUGACGCUGAGGUACGAAAGCUAGGGUAGCGAACGGG